UACGUAGGGGGCGAGCGUUAUCCGGAUUUACUGGGUGUAAAGGGAGCGUAGACGGCAUGGCAAGCCAGAUGUGAAAUACCGGGGCUCAACCCCGGGACUGCAUUUGGAACUGUUAAGCUGGAGUGUCGGAGAGGCAGGCGGAAUUCCUAGUGUAGCGGUGAAAUGCGUAGAUAUUAGGAGGAACACCAGUGGCGAAGGCGGCCUGCUGGACGAUAACUGACGUUGAGGCUCGAAAGCGUGGGGAGCAAACAGG
This 253-nucleotide ribosomal RNA is filed under the name uncultured bacterium. RNAcentral describes it as "partial 16S ribosomal RNA". It matches the Rfam family "Bacterial small subunit ribosomal RNA", at positions 524 to 776 of the family's 1533-position model. The record is from RNAcentral.